UGGUACUCUUUGCUUAAGUGCUCUUCCUUCUCACUAUCAGAGUCCUGCAGAUUGACUGCGGUAAACCCUUCAUCGUUACGGUCCCCUUCAUCUUCCGAGCUGCUGUGGUAUAUCCGCUGUUUCUUGAACUUCUUUUUUGGUCUCGCGGUUCUGCCGUUCAUUCCAUCUUCGAUCUUGCGCUUCUUAAAAGACGGAGGCGCCAUUUAUAGAGAUAUAUAUAUUUAUUUGUAUGUCUCUUUGGAAUGGGAGAAGUGGGAAGGUACUUUUUAUGGAGUGUCAAGAAUAUUUUCGGAGGAAAAUAAAAAUUAUUUACG
This 314-nucleotide small RNA is filed under the name Histoplasma ohiense. Its description in RNAcentral is "hypothetical lncRNA". Lineage: Eukaryota; Fungi; Ascomycota; Eurotiomycetes; Onygenales; Ajellomycetaceae. The record is from RNAcentral.